GCUCGUAUAGUGUAGGUGGUUAUCACCGUUCGUUGUGGUUCUUCUUCUGAUCCCCUUCCGAGCUGACCGCUGUUCGACUCAGCGUGCGAGCA
This 92-nucleotide transfer RNA is filed under the name Trichosporon asahii var. asahii CBS 2479. RNAcentral's name for it is "tRNA-His". RNAcentral also lists the same sequence under 1 other name. Lineage: Eukaryota; Fungi; Basidiomycota; Tremellomycetes; Trichosporonales; Trichosporonaceae. The record is from RNAcentral.